GACGAACGCUGGCGGCGUGCUUAACACAUGCAAGUCGAACGGAAAGGCCCUGCUUUUGUGGGGUGCUCGAGUGGCGAACGGGUGAGUAACACGUGAGUAACCUGCCCUUGACUUUGGGAUAACUUCAGGAAACUGGGGCUAAUACCGGAUAGGAGCUCUUGCUGCAUGGAGGGGGUUGGAAAGUUUCGGCGGUUGGGGAUGGACUCGCGGCUUAUCAGCUUGUUGGUGGGGUAGUGGUUUACCCAGGCUUAGACGGAUAGCCGGCCUGAGAGGGUGGCCGGCCACAUUAAGACUGAGAGACGGCGCAGUCUGCUACGGUAGGCAGCAGUGGAGAAUCUUGCACAAUGGGCGGAAGCCUGAUGCAACAACGCUCCGUGUGGGAAGACAGCCUUCGGGUUGUAAACCGCUUUCGCCUGAGACGAAGCGUGAGUGACGGUAAUGGGUAAAGAAGCACCGGCUAACUACGUG
RNAcentral lists this ribosomal RNA (468 nucleotides) under uncultured bacterium. Its description in RNAcentral is "partial 16S ribosomal RNA". It matches the Rfam family "Bacterial small subunit ribosomal RNA", at positions 28 to 507 of the family's 1533-position model. The record is from RNAcentral.